UGGUGCGAUCAUACCAGCACUAAUGCACCGGAUCUCAUCAGAACUCCGAAGUUAAACGUGCUUGGGCAAGAGUAGUACUAAGAUGGGUGACCUCUUGGGAAGUCCUCGUGUUGAACCUC
Molecule: ribosomal RNA, 119 nt
Filed under: Ricinus communis (castor bean)
Lineage: Eukaryota; Viridiplantae; Streptophyta; Magnoliopsida; Malpighiales; Euphorbiaceae
Source: RNAcentral